CCCAGGCCGUUGGCCUGGGCUGUGUUAGGCCGCCCCGUUGGGGCU
Molecule: small RNA, 45 nt
Filed under: Verrucomicrobiota bacterium
Lineage: Bacteria; Pseudomonadati; Verrucomicrobiota
Description: Verrucomicrobia bacterium Acido-Lenti-1
Rfam family: Acido-Lenti-1 RNA
Source: RNAcentral